AUGGCUCAGUGGUUAAGAGCACUGUCUGCUCUUCCAGGGGACCUGGGUUCAAUUCCCAGU
Molecule: transfer RNA, 60 nt
Filed under: Cricetulus griseus (Chinese hamster)
Lineage: Eukaryota; Metazoa; Chordata; Mammalia; Rodentia; Cricetidae
Source: Rfam by way of RNAcentral